GGUCUGAUAGCACAGUGGUUAGUGCAUCUACUUAAUAUGUGGAUUUUCCGGUUCUCUUUAGUAGAAGAUCCCCGUUCGAAUCGGGGUCAGGCCA
Molecule: non-coding RNA, 94 nt
Organism: Mycena latifolia
Lineage: Eukaryota; Fungi; Basidiomycota; Agaricomycetes; Agaricales; Mycenaceae
Source: the annotation of a GenBank genome assembly